Molecule: ribosomal RNA, 652 nt
Filed under: uncultured bacterium
Lineage: Bacteria
Description: bacterial SSU rRNA
Rfam family: Bacterial small subunit ribosomal RNA
Source: RNAcentral
GUCGAGCGGUCCGCGUCAGCGGGACAGCGGCGGACGGGUGAGGAACACGUGAGUAACCGGGCAUGGAGUGGGGGAUAUCGGGCCGAAAGGCGCGGCAAUCCCGCAUACCGUCCCACCCGCAUCAGUGGGUGGGGGAAAGGGAUCUUCGGAUCUCGCUCCAUGGGGGGCUCGCGGCCCAUUAGCUAGUUGGGGGGGUAACGGCCUCCCAAGGCGACGAUGGGUAGCCGGCCUGAGAGGGUGAUCGGCCACACUGGGACUGAGACACGGCCCAGACUCCUACGGGAGGCAGCAGUAGGGAAUCUUCCACAAUGGGCGCAAGCCUGAUGGAGCAACGCCGCGUGAGUGAAGACGGCCUUCGGGUUGUAAAGCUCUGUCGGUUGGGACGAGGGCCCCGGGGGAACCCGGGGCGGGACGGUACCGAUCAAUGAAGCCCCUGCUAACUACGUGCCAGCAGCCGCGGUAAGACGUAGGGGGCAAGCGUUGUCCGGAAUUACUGGGCGUAAAGGGCGUGUAGGCGGUGCGGUACGUAGCGGUUUUAAGCCUCCGGCUCACCCGGAGGAGGGCGGCUAAACGGCAGCACUGGAGGGCAGGAGAGGUGCGCGGAAUUCCUGGUGGAGCGGUGAAAUGCGUAGAGAUCAGGAAGAACACCAGU